GCCGGGCAUGGUGGUGCAUGCUUGUAAUCCCAGCUACUCAGGAGGCUGAGGCAGGAGAAUCGCUUGAACCCGGGAGGCAGAGGUUGCAGUGAGCCAAGAUCAUGCCACUGCCCUCCAGCCUGGGCAACAAAGUGAGACUCUGUCUCAA
RNAcentral lists this non-coding RNA (148 nucleotides) under Nomascus leucogenys (northern white-cheeked gibbon). The record is from Rfam by way of RNAcentral. Lineage: Eukaryota; Metazoa; Chordata; Mammalia; Primates; Hylobatidae.